Meriones unguiculatus (Mongolian gerbil) is the source of this 130-nucleotide small nucleolar RNA. NCBI's taxonomy places the organism in Eukaryota, Metazoa, Chordata, Mammalia, Rodentia, Muridae. The record is from Ensembl.
CUCCAUGUAUGUUUAGGGCCUGUCUGCUGUGGCAGCCUUCCUCCCUAGCCAUAGAAGAGCAUAUUUUUGUUUUUGGCAAAGCUGUCACCAUUUAGUUGGUACCAGAUUCUGAUUUGCACAAGUAACAUUC